RNAcentral lists this unclassified non-coding RNA (543 nucleotides) under plant metagenome. Its description in RNAcentral is "partial contains small subunit ribosomal RNA and internal transcribed spacer 1". The stretch from base 22 to 347 matches the Rfam family "Group I catalytic intron". Rfam says of the family: Group I catalytic introns are large self-splicing ribozymes. They catalyse their own excision from mRNA, tRNA and rRNA precursors in a wide range of organisms. The record is from RNAcentral.
AAGUCGUAACAAGGUUUCGUCAGAACAGUAUCCUUCCGGGUAGCCUGUGGAAGCCCCUGCAACCUCACCAGGGUCCGCGACUAUAAAGAUCGGAUGCAAGUCGCAUAGCGGCAACAUGAUCGAAUUGCGGGGAUGUCCUAAAGCCUAGCGGUACCAACGCCCUGAGGAAACUCACGGCGGGCCAGUGUUAAUCACGCUGGGGGUCAGAACCUGCUAGGAUGCUACAAUGGAUAAUCCGCAGCGAAGUCCCUAACGGCGAUAGCCCACGGGAAACGUUCACAGACUAGGUGGUCGUGGGUAGGCGAGUCCUGCUUAAGAUAUAGUCGGGCGCUGUAGGAAACUACAGCGGUUAACCGUUCCGUAGGUGAACCUGCGGAAGGAUCAUUACAGAGUUCAUGCCCUUCGGGGUAGAUCUCCCACCCUUGUGUAUCAUUAUAGAAUGUUGCUUUGGCGGGCCGCGUGCCCAGCACGCCUUGCGUGCCCGCCAGAGGACCCCUAAACUCUGAAUGUUAGUGUCGUCUGAGUACUAUUAAAUAGUUAAAA